This 292-nucleotide ribosomal RNA is filed under the name uncultured Acidobacteriota bacterium. RNAcentral describes it as "uncultured Acidobacteria bacterium partial 16S ribosomal RNA". Lineage: Bacteria; Pseudomonadati; Acidobacteriota. The record is from RNAcentral.
GGACUACCCGGGUAUCUAAUCCCGUUUGCUCCCCUAGCUUUCGCGCCUCAGCGUCAAGAACAGGCCAGGAAGUCGCCUUCGCCACUGGUGUUCCUCCCGAUAUCUACGCAUUUCACCACUACACCGGGAAUUCCACUUCCCUCUCCUGCCUUCGAGUCGAUCAGUAUCGAGUGACCCUCCCCAGUUGAGCCGGGGGCUUUCACACUCGACUUGAACGACCGCCUGCGCGCUCUUUACGCCCAGUAAAUCCGGACAACGCUUGUCACCUACGUAUUACCGCGGCUGCUGGCAC